AAAAUCAAAGCAUUGGAAUGUGUCCAUGAAUGAAGAGGUAUUGUGGAGCCCACGUGAGGGAGCAUUUAAUCUGAAGCUUGAGUUGGUGUAGCACACGUUGCAACACGGUGGUGAUUUAAUUAGGAAAGGCCGUAAGCACUCAUUGAUGAUUGAAUGCAUUCAAUUCCUUUUCAAUUUGGAUAAAGGCAUAUGUCACGUCCUGGUAUUUGGAUAAACUUGUUUUUUUUUUUUCUUUUAUUUUAAAGUAGUUUAGGAUUUAGAUAAACUUUAAUUUUUUAUUUUAUUUUCUUUUAUUUUAAAUUAGUUUGAAUUGUAGGUUGAGUUUUUAUUUUUAUUUCAUUUUAUUUUUUU
RNAcentral lists this long non-coding RNA (351 nucleotides) under Vigna radiata. RNAcentral's name for it is "long non-coding RNA (VRAD_LNC014788)". The record is from RNAcentral. Lineage: Eukaryota; Viridiplantae; Streptophyta; Magnoliopsida; Fabales; Fabaceae.